Long non-coding RNA from Tarenaya hassleriana, 423 nucleotides. RefSeq lists it as uncharacterized. The transcript has 2 exons. The record is from RefSeq and is a predicted model, not a curated record. NCBI's taxonomy places the organism in Eukaryota, Viridiplantae, Streptophyta, Magnoliopsida, Brassicales, Cleomaceae.
UAGGUCCACCAAAUCAAAUACAUAACCAUAUACCAAGAAUCACUGCGAUAUAUAUCUUCAGAGGAACACAAUGGCCAGCAAGAGGUUUUCGUCUGCUUCCGCCACUUCUUCCCUGUUGUUUGCUUUCGUUCUUCUGCUGUUGCUUUCGGGAGAAGCAUCGUGCCAAAGUACGUGCAAUAACGCAGAAUGCAGCAAGUCAUGCAAAGCCAAGGGGAAAAAGGGGGGAGUGUGCGUGGCGUUUUUGGGCCCGAAGCGUGUUUUUGGUUGCGUUUGCAAUCCCCCAAAUUCUUCUCAACCCGAGAGCGACGCUCCAUCUAUUUGAAUGAUGUCAUGAUAUAUAUAUGUGGCCUCAUAUGUAUUUCGGAAUAGAAUACAAUUUCGUAUCAAUAUCAAUAAAAUAAAUAUAUUAUCGUUUCGAUGAAA